This 224-nucleotide ribosomal RNA is filed under the name uncultured bacterium. Its description in RNAcentral is "partial 16S ribosomal RNA". It matches the Rfam family "Bacterial small subunit ribosomal RNA", at positions 15 to 236 of the family's 1533-position model. The record is from RNAcentral.
GAUCCUGGCUCAGGAUGAACGCUGGCGGCGUGCUUAACACAUGCAAGUCGAACGGACGACGGGAGCUUGCUCCCGAAGUUAGUGGCGGACGGGUGAGUAAUGUAUGAGCAACCUGCCCUUCAGAGGGGGACAACAGCUGGAAACGGCUGCUAAUACCGCAUAAUAUGUGAGAGUCGCAUGACUUUUGCAUCAAAGGAGUAAUCCGCUGAAAGAUGGGCUCAUAU